This 1401-nucleotide ribosomal RNA is filed under the name uncultured bacterium. Its description in RNAcentral is "bacterial SSU rRNA". It matches the Rfam family "Bacterial small subunit ribosomal RNA". The record is from RNAcentral.
AGAGUUUGAUCCUGGCUCAGAUUGACCUUUGGCGGCAGGCCUAACACAUGCAAGUCGAACGGUAACAGGAAGCAGCUUGCUGCUUCGCUGACGAGUGGCGGACGGGUGAGUAAUGUCUGGGAAACUGCCUGAUGGAGGGGGAUAACUACUGGAAACGGUAGCUAAUACCGCAUAACGUCGCAAGACCAAAGAGGGGGACCUUCGGGCCUCUUGCCAUCGGAUGUGCCCAGAUGGGAUUAGCUAGUAGGUGGGGUAACGGCUCACCUAGGCGACGAUCCCUAGCUGGUCUGAGAGGAUGACCAGCCACACUGGAACUGAGACACGGUCCAGACUCCUACGGGAGGCAGCAGUGGGGAAUAUUGCACAAUGGGCGCAAGCCUGAUGCAGCCAUGCCGCGUGUAUGAAGAAGGCCUUCGGGUUGUAAAGUACUUUCAGCGGGGAGGAAGGGAGUAAAGUUAAUACCUUUGCUCAUUGACGUUACCCGCAGAAGAAGCACCGGCUAACUCCGUGCCAGCAGCCGCGGUAAUACGGAGGGUGCAAGCGUUAUCCGGAUUUAUUGGGCGUAAAGGGAGCGUAGGCGGAUACUUAAGUGGGAUGUGAAAUACUUGGGCUCAACCCGAGUACUGCAUUCCAAACUGAGUAUCUAGAGUGCAGGAGAGGAGAGUGGAAUUCCUAGUGUAGCGGUGAAAUGCGUAGAGAUUAGGAAGAACACCAGUGGCGAAGGCGACUCUCUGGACUGUAACUGACGCUGAGGCUCGAAAGCGUGGGGAGCGAACAGGAUUAGAUACCCUGGUAGUCCACGCCGUAAACGAUGUCGACUUGGAGGUUGUGCCCUUGAGGCGUGGCUUCCGGAGCUAACGCGUUAAGUCGACCGCCUGGGGAGUACGGCCGCAAGGUUAAAACUCAAAUGAAUUGACGGGGGCCCGCACAAGCGGUGGAGCAUGUGGUUUAAUUCGAUGCAACGCGAAGAACCUUACCUGGUCUUGACAUCCACAGAACUUUCCAGAGAUGGAUUGGUGCCUUCGGGAACUGUGAGACAGGUGCUGCAUGGCUGUCGUCAGCUCGUGUUGUGAAAUGUUGGGUUAAGUCCCGCAACGAGCGCAACCCUUAUCCUUUGUUGCCAGCGGUCCGGCCGGGAACUCAAAGGAGACUGCCAGUGAUAAACUGGAGGAAGGUGGGGAUGACGUCAAGUCAUCAUGGCCCUUACGACCAGGGCUACACACGUGCUACAAUGGCGCAUACAAAGAGAAGCGACCUCGCGAGAGCAAGCGGACCUCAUAAAGUGCGUCGUAGUCCGGAUUGGAGUCUGCAACUCGACUCCAUGAAGUCGGAAUCGCUAGUAAUCGUGGAUCAGAAUGCCACGGUGAAUACGUUCCCGGGCCUUGCACACACCGCCCGUCA